RNAcentral lists this ribosomal RNA (529 nucleotides) under Aspergillus sp. EFL3. Its description in RNAcentral is "eukaryotic LSU rRNA". The stretch from base 161 to 314 matches the Rfam family "5.8S ribosomal RNA". Lineage: Eukaryota; Fungi; Ascomycota; Eurotiomycetes; Eurotiales; Aspergillaceae. The record is from RNAcentral.
CCUCCCACCCGUGUCUAUCGUACCUUGUUGCUUCGGCGGGCCCGCCGUUUCGACGGCCGCCGGGGAGGCCUUGCGCCCCCGGGCCCGCGCCCGCCGAAGACCCCAACAUGAACGCUGUUCUGAAAGUAUGCAGUCUGAGUUGAUUAUCGUAAUCAGUUAAAACUUUCAACAACGGAUCUCUUGGUUCCGGCAUCGAUGAAGAACGCAGCGAAAUGCGAUAAGUAAUGUGAAUUGCAGAAUUCAGUGAAUCAUCGAGUCUUUGAACGCACAUUGCGCCCCCUGGUAUUCCGGGGGGCAUGCCUGUCCGAGCGUCAUUGCUGCCCUCAAGCACGGCUUGUGUGUUGGGCCCCCGUCCCCCUCUCCCGGGGGACGGGCCCGAAAGGCAGCGGCGGCACCGCGUCCGGUCCUCGAGCGUAUGGGGCUUUGUCACCUGCUCUGUAGGCCCGGCCGGCGCCAGCCGACACCCAACUUUAUUUUUCUAAGGUUGACCUCGGAUCAGGUAGGGAUACCCGCUGAACUUAAGCAUAUC